AUUAGAUAAAAAACCAACGCCCUUCGGGGCUUCUUGGUGAUUCAUGAUAACUUCACGGAUCGCAUGGCCUUGCGCCGGCGACGGUUCAUUCAAAUUUCUGCCCUAUCAACUUUCGAUGGUAAGGUAUUGGCUUACCAUGGUUUCAACGGGUAACGGGGAAUUAGGGUUCGAUUCCGGAGAGGGAGCCUGAGAAACGGCUACCACAUCCAAGGAAGGCAGCAGGCGCGCAGAUUACCCAAUCCCGACACGGGGAGGUAGUGACAAUAAAUACUGAUACAGGGCUCUUUUGGGUCUUGUAAUUGGAAUGAGUACAAUUUAAACCUCUUAACGAGGAACAAUUGGAGGGCAAGUCUGGUGCCAGCAGCCGCGGUAAUUCCAGCUCCAAUAGCGUAUAUUAAAGUUGUUGCAGUUAAAAAGCUCGUAGUUGAAACUUGGGCCUGGCUGGCAGGUCCGCCUCACCGCGUGUACUUGUCCGGCCGGGCCUUUCCUUCUGGAGAACCUCAUGCCCUUCACUGGG
Molecule: ribosomal RNA, 517 nt
Filed under: uncultured fungus
Lineage: Eukaryota; Fungi
Description: SSU rRNA
Rfam family: Eukaryotic small subunit ribosomal RNA
Source: RNAcentral